Molecule: ribosomal RNA, 253 nt
Filed under: uncultured bacterium
Lineage: Bacteria
Description: partial 16S ribosomal RNA
Rfam family: Bacterial small subunit ribosomal RNA
Source: RNAcentral
UACGGAGGAUUCGAGCGUUAUCCGGAUUUAUUGGGUUUAAAGGGAGCGUAGGCGGGUUGUUAAGUCAGUUGUGAAAGUUUGCGGCUCAACCGUAAAAUUGCAGUUGAUACUGGCAUCCUUGAGUACAGUAGAGGUAGGCGGAAUUCGUGGUGUAGCGGUGAAAUGCUUAGAUAUCACGAAGAACUCCGAUUGCGAAGGCAGCCUGCUGGACUGUAACUGACGCUGAUGCUCGAAAGUGUGGGUAUCAGACAGG